This 497-nucleotide ribosomal RNA is filed under the name uncultured bacterium. Its description in RNAcentral is "partial 16S ribosomal RNA". It matches the Rfam family "Bacterial small subunit ribosomal RNA", at positions 28 to 507 of the family's 1533-position model. The record is from RNAcentral.
GAUGAACGCUGGCGGCGUGCCUAAUACAUGCAAGUCGAGCGAACAGAUGAGGAGCUUGCUCCUCUGACGUUAGCGGCGGACGGGUGAGUAACACGUGGAUAACCUACCUAUAAGACUGGGAUAACUUCGGGAAACCGGAGCUAAUACCGGAUAAUAUAUUGAACCGCAUGGUUCAAUAGUGAAAGACGGUUUUGCUGUCACUUAUAGAUGGAUCCGCGCCGCAUUAGCUAGUUGGUAAGGUAACGGCUUACCAAGGCAACGAUGCGUAGCCGACCUGAGAGGGUGAUCGGCCACACUGGAACUGAGACACGGUCCAGACUCCUACGGGAGGCAGCAGUAGGGAAUCUUCCGCAAUGGGUGAAGGCCUGACGGAGCAACGCCGCGUGAGUGAUGAAGGUCUUCGGAUCGUAAAACUCUGUUAUUAGGGAAGAACAAAUGUGUAAGUAACUAUGCACGUCUUGACGGUACCUAAUCAGAAAGCCACGGCUAACUACGUG